Molecule: ribosomal RNA, 251 nt
Filed under: uncultured bacterium
Lineage: Bacteria
Description: partial 16S ribosomal RNA
Rfam family: Bacterial small subunit ribosomal RNA
Source: RNAcentral
UACGAAGGGGGCUAGCGUUGCUCGGAAUCACUGGGCGUAAAGCGCACGUAGGCGGCUUUUUAAGUCAGAGGUGAAAUCCUGGAGCUCAACUCCAGAACUGCCUUUGAUACUGGAGAGCUUGAGUCCGGGAGAGGUGAGUGGAACUGCGAGUGUAGAGGUGAAAUUCGUAGAUAUUCGCAAGACACCAGUGGCGAAGGCGGCUCACUGGCCCGUACUGACGCUGAGGUGCGAAAGCGUGGGGAGCAAACAGG